RNAcentral lists this ribosomal RNA (531 nucleotides) under uncultured Bacillota bacterium. RNAcentral's name for it is "bacterial SSU rRNA". It matches the Rfam family "Bacterial small subunit ribosomal RNA", at positions 9 to 522 of the family's 1533-position model. The record is from RNAcentral. Lineage: Bacteria; Bacillati; Bacillota.
GAGUUUGAUCAUGGCUCAGGACGAACGCUGGCGGCGUGCCUAAUACAUGCAAGUAGAACGCUGACUACUUUAGCUUGCUAGAGUAGAAGGAGUUGCGAACGGGUGAGUAACGCGUAGGUAACCUGCCUACUAGCGGGGGAUAACUAUUGGAAACGAUAGCUAAUACCGCAUAACAGUGUUUAACACAUGUUAGAUGCUUGAAAGAUGCAAAUGUAUCACUAGUAGAUGGACCUGCGUUGUAUUAGCUAGUUGGUGGGGUAACGGCCUACCAAGGCGACGAUACAUAGCCGACCUGAGAGGGUGAUCGGCCACACUGGGACUGAGACACGGCCCAGACUCCUACGGGAGGCAGCAGUAGGGAAUCUUCGGCAAUGGGGGCAACCCUGACCGAGCAACGCCGCGUGAGUGAAGAAGGUUUUCGGAUCGUAAAGCUCUGUUGUAAGAGAAGAACGUGUGUGAGAGUGGAAAGUUCACACAGUGACGGUAACUUACCAGAAAGGGACGGCUAACUACGUGCCAGCAGCCGCGGUA